UUGUUUUGGUUGUGAACAGAAAACAUAAAUGUGGUUCAUUUUACACCUUUGCAGAAAAGCUGCUGAAAAUAAACUCAAAUGGGAGCAAAGCAGGAAGUUCAGAAAAUAAAUGUAUUUUUGUGUUUGUGUUUUUGGUUUGGUUUUACAGACUUGGUCAACUGUUAUCUAAACCUUUCUUCUUAAUGGGCAUCAAAAUACAAUCCAUUUCUUGUGCUGCCAUGUGGGCCUCUAUUGCCUCAAUAAACAUAUAUUUCAAAUGUUUAGUUGAUUUUGAUAAUGAAAAUCUGAACCUGAAUCAGCAUGGAGGAGUCAGCCGGAGGAGAGAGUGGUCAGGGGUGGACUGGGACCAAAAUUCGGCCCUGGCAUUUUUACGAAUCGCUGGCCCUCAGUCGGCCCUCCCCAUUGGGAGAGUGGUGGGGGUGGGGUGUGUUGCCGCCCGCGGACUCGUCUCUAGGCCGAAUGUGAGAUCUAAUAUGGACUGGGACUGUUAAAUUACAAGCAGGGCCAGACCGCUGCGACUGGGAGCCCUGGCCUUCCAGAUCAGCGGGACAUUAGCUACACGCUAACACGGUAAAACAACUCCUACGUCAUCGCUCUACUGCACAUUUCUUGCUAAAAAUGCCUGGAAAAACUCUGUUGGCUUCAGGAUUCCAUGUAGCUAAUGUUCUGCAGAUCACCAACUGUGGAGUAGUGUCGGCGUAAGCUGGGCAAGCAGCCCACUUGGCUAAGCAGCCCACAGGAAUAGUGCCAGAAUGCCAGAUAGGCCAGUCCACCCCUGAGCGUGGUACACGACAAGAUUUGGAGAUUUAUAUCCUGAUAUUUGGACAUCUCUCCUCAGAUUGGAUAACAGCAAUGUGACUCUUCUUCUAAGUCAGUUUGCUUUUCAACACUGAAGUUUUAUCUCCACAAAGAAGACAAACCUGAAGAAGCUCUGCUGUGAGGUGGAGUUGCUAACGCUAACAGUUAGCUCUUACUAGCCGAGAUGUUCUCUGCUAUUUUCUGGACGCUAAAACAACAGCCUUUCCUGUCGUGAGCCAAGAUGGGUGACAGCGGAGGGGGCCGCAGCUGCAGAACAUCUCCAAUCAGGGACGCGGGUAUAAAAGGAGGAUGGUGACAUCUCAUUACGCCGGAUGAUUGCUCCUGUAUAGAAUUCUAUUCAACCUGCCUCAACCUGCUGUUUUGCUGACUGGACAUUCACACCACGUCCCAUCCUCCUCCGCUGUGCUUGGUUGGAUCCCUUCCGCUGUCUAACCUGUUUCCUGAUCACCCCUGGACUGACUUGAGCUCACCUCGGCUUCCUCACCUCGUUCUCCCCGAACAUUUAUGGACUCAAGCUACUGCUCACCCUCUCCACAGGACUUCCCUGUGCACCUUUUGUUCCAGUUAGUAAAUAAAGACUUUAAUUUCAUCCUACCUGCUCGUCGAGUCAGAUUACUGCAUGUCUUGGGUUAAACACAUUCCACGAGACAUGACAACUUUACCGUCUAUAUACAUAUGAACUGGAUUCAGUUUUUCAUUUUGUUAAGGAAUUUAAUCAUAAAUCAUUACAGAAAAUCAAAAUCCUCACCU
This is a long non-coding RNA of Nothobranchius furzeri (turquoise killifish), 1569 nucleotides long. RefSeq lists it as uncharacterized. NCBI's taxonomy places the organism in Eukaryota, Metazoa, Chordata, Actinopteri, Cyprinodontiformes, Nothobranchiidae. The record is from RefSeq and is a predicted model, not a curated record.